This 556-nucleotide ribosomal RNA is filed under the name uncultured bacterium. RNAcentral describes it as "partial 16S ribosomal RNA". It matches the Rfam family "Bacterial small subunit ribosomal RNA", at positions 355 to 900 of the family's 1533-position model. The record is from RNAcentral.
UAGGGAAUCUUCGGCAAUGGACGAAAGUCUGACCGAGCAACGCCGCGUGAGUGAAGAAGGUUUUCGGAUCGUAAAACUCUGUUGUUAGAGAAGAACGUUGCAUAGAGUGGAAAAUUAUGCAAGUGACGGUAUCUAACCAGAAAGGGACGGCUAACUACGUGCCAGCAGCCGCGGUAAUACGUAGGUCCCGAGCGUUGUCCGGAUUUAUUGGGCGUAAAGCGAGCGCAGGUGGUUUAAUAAGUCUGAUGUAAAAAGGCAGUGGCUCAACCAUUGUGUGCAUUGGAAACUGUUAGACUUGAGUGCAGUAGAGGAGAGUGGAAUUCCAUGUGUAGCGGUGAAAUGCGUAGAUAUAUGGAGGAACACCGGUGGCGAAAAGCGGCUCUCUGGACUGUCACUGACACUGAGGCUCGAAAGCGUGGGUAGCAAACAGGAUUAGAUACCCUGGUAGUCCACGCCGUAAACGAUGAGUGCUAGUUGUUUGGGGCUAUCCAGCCCUAAGUGACGCAGCAAACGCAUUAAGCACUCCGCCUGGGGAGUACGACCGCAAGGUUGAAAC